UACGUAGGGUGCGAGCGUUAAUCGGAAUUACUGGGCGUAAAGCGUGCGCAGGCGGUUCGCAAAGUCUGAUGUGAAAGCCCCGGGCUCAACCUGGGAACUGCAUUGGAAACUAACGGGCUCGAGUGUGGCAGAGGGGGGUGGAAUUCCACGUGUAGCAGUGAAAUGCGUAGAGAUGUGGAGGAACACCGAUGGCGAAGGCGGCCUUCUGGACAGUGACUGACGCUGAGACGCGAAAGCGUGGGGAGCAAACAGG
Molecule: ribosomal RNA, 253 nt
Filed under: uncultured bacterium
Lineage: Bacteria
Description: partial 16S ribosomal RNA
Rfam family: Bacterial small subunit ribosomal RNA
Source: RNAcentral